Molecule: long non-coding RNA, 1875 nt
Filed under: Astyanax mexicanus (Mexican tetra)
Lineage: Eukaryota; Metazoa; Chordata; Actinopteri; Characiformes; Acestrorhamphidae
Description: lncRNA (ENSAMXG00005012262.1)
Source: RNAcentral
UCAUAGGGACUUAAAUGACUACAAAUCAUCUUUAUGUAUGAGGGAUAGCUUCUUCAGGACCAGCCAAAGAAGACAACCUGAGGAAGACUUCUCAACCAGAAAAAGAAUAAUACACGUUGUUGGAUCAACCCCUGAGCUCCUGAUGCAGUUGGAAAAUCAUUUCCGGUUAAGAUCUUUUUUAUUUUUCAGGAUGACCAAUAUGGGUCUAGUGCUUGGAGGGACUUCAGGGACUGUGGGUUUUCUUCAAGGAUGAGGGAUAGCUCCUUCAGGACCAGCCAAAGAAGACAACCUGAGGAGGACUUCUCACCCAGGAAAGGAAAAAUACAUGGUGCUGGAUCAACUCCCGAGCUUCUAAUGCAGGAUGACCAAUAUGGGUCUAGUGCCUGGAGGGACUUUAGGGACUGUGGGUUCUCUUUAAGGAUGAGGGAUAGCCCCUUCAGGACCAGCCAAAAAAGACGACCUGAGGAAGUCAUCUCACCCAGAAAAGGAAUAAUACACGGUGCUGGAUCAACUCCUGAGCUCCUGAUGCAGGAUGACCAAUAUGGGUCUAGUGCCUGGAGGGACUUUAGGGACUGUGGGUUCUUUUCAAGUAUGAGGGAUAGCCCCUUCAGGACCAGCCAAAGCAGACAACCUGAGGAAGACUUCUCACCCAGAAAAGGAAUAAUACACGGUGCUGGAUCACCUCCUGAGCUCCUGAUGCAGUACGACCAAUAUGGGUCCAGUGCCUGGAGGGACUUCAGGGACUGCAGGUUCUCUUCAGAGAUGAGGGAUAGCCCCUUCAGAACCAGCCAAAGAAGACAACAUGAGGAAGUCAUCUCACCCAGGAAAGGAAUAAUACACGGUGCUGGACCAGAACUCCAGAGCUCCUGAUGCAGGCUCCUAUACCGUGUCAGGCCGACCCAUAUGGGUUCUGUGCCCAGGUGGACUAUGGGUACUGGGGGUCCUAUCCACUGAGGGGGUGUACCCCUUGUGGGGUCAGCCAUAGAAGUCCUCCUAUACAGUGUCAGGAAGACCAAUAUGGGUUCAAUGCCCAGGUGGACUAUGGGGACUGGGGGUUGUAUCCACUGAGGAGGUGUACUCCCUUCUGGACCAGCCAAAGAAGACGACCUGAGGAGAGACAACCCGAGGAAAACACCUGGCACUAGGUGAACUCCUCAGUGUCUGAUGCAGUGGACGAUUGUUUCUUUAUUAUUAUAAAAUAUUAUAUAAUAUUACAUAAUAUUAUAUUAUAUUAUAUAUGUCUAAUUUAUAAAUAUCUAUUGUACUUACAUCUCUUGUGUGUGUGUGUGUGUGUGUGUGUGUAUGUGUGUGUGAGUGCUGAGUGUAAAUGUUAAAAAUGGAUUACUAUAUUAUAUUAUAUUAUAUUAUAUUAUAGUGGCGUAAAAAGGUAUCCCCCCCCACACACACAGAUUUCUUUUAUCUAAUAACUUGGUUGUGUCACCUUUGGCAGCAACUACUGGAAUCAAGCUUUACCAAUAACUGACAAUGAGGCUUUUACAUCUCUGUGGAGGAAUUUUGUUCUGCUCUUCUUUACAGAAUUGUUUCAAUUCAGACACACUGGAGGAUUUUCCAGCAAAAGCAUCCCGUUUAAGAUCAUCCACAGCAUCUCAAUCAGACUUUAACUAGGACACUCCAAAACCUUCAUUUUGUUUAAGUUUUUAAGUUUUGGAUCAUUGUCCUGCUGCACCUGAGCUUGAGGUCAUGAACAGAUGGCCGGACAUUCUCCUUCAAGAUUGUUUGAUAAACAGCAGAAUUCCUGGUUCCAUUAAUUACAGCAAGUUGUUCAGGCCCUGAAGCAGCAAAGCAGCCCCAGACCAUCACACUACCACCACCAUGUUUUACAUUCAGUAUGAUGUUCUUUUUCUAAAAUUAUGU